Molecule: transfer RNA, 67 nt
Filed under: Marmota monax (woodchuck)
Lineage: Eukaryota; Metazoa; Chordata; Mammalia; Rodentia; Sciuridae
Description: tRNA.Ala
Source: RNAcentral
GGUUGUGGCUCAGGGGUAUAGCACCUGGCUAGCAUUCAUUAGGCACUGGGUUUGAUUCCCAGAACCA